UACGGAGGGGGCUAGCGUUGUUCGGAAUUACUGGGCGUAAAGCGCACGUAGGCGGGUUGUUAAGUCAGGGGUGAAAUCCUGGAGCUCAACUCCAGAACUGCCUUUGAUACUGGCAACCUAGAGACUGGAAGAGGUUAGUGGAAUUCCCAGUGUAGAGGUGAAAUUCGUAGAUAUUCGCAAGAACACCGGUGGCGAAGGCGGGUCUCUGGGCAGUAACUGACGCUGAGGAGCGAAAGCGUGGGGAGCGAACAGG
This 253-nucleotide ribosomal RNA is filed under the name uncultured bacterium. Its description in RNAcentral is "partial 16S ribosomal RNA". It matches the Rfam family "Bacterial small subunit ribosomal RNA", at positions 524 to 776 of the family's 1533-position model. The record is from RNAcentral.